RNAcentral lists this ribosomal RNA (261 nucleotides) under uncultured bacterium. RNAcentral describes it as "partial 16S ribosomal RNA". It matches the Rfam family "Bacterial small subunit ribosomal RNA", at positions 793 to 1055 of the family's 1533-position model. The record is from RNAcentral.
GUCCACGCCGUAAACGAUGAGUGCUAAGUGUUAGGGUUUCCGCCCUUAGUGCUGCAGCUAACGCAUUAAGCACUCCGCCUGGGAGUACGGCCGCAAGGCUGAAACUCAAAGGAAUUGACGGGGCCCGCACAAGCGGUGGAGCAUGUGGUUUAAUUCGAAGCAACGCGAAGAACCUUACCAGGUCUUGACAUCCUCUGACAACCCUAGAGAUAGGGCGUUCCCCUUCGGGGGACAGAGUGACAGGUGGUGCAUGGUUGUCGU